ACCCCGUGGCGCAGUGGCUAACAGGCUUGACUUCGGAGCAAAUGGUCCCGGGGUUCGAGUCCCCGCAGUGGUG
Molecule: non-coding RNA, 73 nt
Organism: Caenorhabditis elegans
Lineage: Eukaryota; Metazoa; Nematoda; Chromadorea; Rhabditida; Rhabditidae
Source: the annotation of a RefSeq genome assembly